Harpegnathos saltator (Jerdon's jumping ant) is the source of this 466-nucleotide long non-coding RNA. RefSeq lists it as uncharacterized. Lineage: Eukaryota; Metazoa; Arthropoda; Insecta; Hymenoptera; Formicidae. The record is from RefSeq and is a predicted model, not a curated record. The transcript has 3 exons.
GCGCUCGAAAUGGACCUGUUGCAGCCCGCUCGCGGCUCAGAACGAGACAAAUAUGAAAAUUAAUAGUCCCCGAAGCGAGCCCGAGGAAUAGAGCGAACGGAGCGUCGUCGGGUCCUUUUCCCUUUCGCGAAAGAAGAAACUCGAUUUCCCGACGAAGGACGGGAUUAAUUAUCUCCCGGGAAACAUGUACACGCGUGUGGAGACGCGGUUCCACGUCGUUAGGCAUCGACAAGCACCCACUUGGUGAGCAGCCCGAACUCGACGUAGGAGAGGAAUGCUGAACGCAGCCUUCGGGGAACAGGACACGCCGUCCUUCGCGGAUGCAGAAGUGGUGUCGGUGUUUACAUAGAAAGCGGGAAUUAAACGUUUAUGCUGUCAUCGUGUCUUACACGAUAAGGUGAAUGGAUAAAGCGAAGAUUGCGCGAGGCGGUGGUGUUCGUCACAUACGAAUCCGGCCCGUAUGCGA